RNAcentral lists this ribosomal RNA (253 nucleotides) under uncultured bacterium. Its description in RNAcentral is "partial 16S ribosomal RNA". It matches the Rfam family "Bacterial small subunit ribosomal RNA", at positions 524 to 776 of the family's 1533-position model. The record is from RNAcentral.
GACAAAGGGUGCAAACGUUGUUCGGAUUUACUGGGCGUAAAGCGCGUGUAGGCGGCUUGGCAAGUCGGAUGUGAAAGCCCACGGCUCAACCGUGGAAGCGCAUCCGAAACUGCUUCGCUCGAGUCUCGGAGAGGAAGGUGGAAUGCUUGGUGUAGAGGUGAAAUUCGUAGAUAUCAAGCAGAACACCUGCGGCGAAGGCGGCCUUCUGGACGAUGACUGACGCUGAGACGCGAAAGCGUGGGGAGCAAACAGG